RNAcentral lists this ribosomal RNA (40 nucleotides) under Phytophthora palmivora. RNAcentral describes it as "partial 28S ribosomal RNA". Lineage: Eukaryota; Oomycota; Peronosporomycetes; Peronosporales; Peronosporaceae. The record is from RNAcentral.
UUGGACCUCAUAUCAGGCAAGAUUACCCGCUGAACUUACA